AGAGUUUGAUCAUGGCUCAGAACGAACGCUGGCGGCGCGCCUAAUACAUGCAAGUCGAACGAGAAUGUGUAGCAAUACACAUGUACAGUGGCGAACGGGUGAGGAAUACAUGGGUAACCUACCCUCGAGUGGGGAAUAACUAGCCGAAAGGUUAGCUAAUACCGCGUACGCUCCUUGGACUUCGGUUCAGGGAGGAAAGCGAUACCGUGGGUAUCGCGCUCUUGGAUGGGCUCAUGUCCUAUCAGCUAGUUGGUGAGGUAACGGCUCACCAAGGCUUCGACGGGUAGCUGGUCUGAGAGGACGAUCAGCCACACUGGCACUGCGACACGGGCCAGACUCCUACGGGAGGCAGCAGUAAGGAAUAUUGCGCAAUGGGCGAAAGCCUGACGCAGCGACGCCGCGUGGGGGAUGAAGGUCUUCGGAUUGUAAACCCCUUUCGGGAGGGAAGAUGGAGCGAGCAAUCGUUCGGACGGUACCUCCAGAAGCAGCCACGGCUAACUUCGUGCCAGCAGCCGCGGUAAUACGAAGGUGGCAAGCGUUGUUCGGAUUUACUGGGCGUACAGGGAGCGUAGGCGGUUCGGUAAGCCCUCUGUGAAAUCUCCAGGCUUAACCUGGAACAGUCGGAGGGGACUGCCGGGCUAGAGGACGGGAGAGGAGCGCGGAAUUCCCGGUGUAGCGGUGAAAUGCGUAGAGAUCGGGA
Molecule: ribosomal RNA, 700 nt
Filed under: uncultured bacterium
Lineage: Bacteria
Description: bacterial SSU rRNA
Rfam family: Bacterial small subunit ribosomal RNA
Source: RNAcentral